AACUCAGGGAAACUUGUGCUAAUACCGAAUGUGCCCUUCGGGGGAAAGAGUUAUCGCCAUUAGAGCGGCCCGCGUCUGAUUAGCUAGUUGGUGAGGUAAAGGCUCACCAAGGCGACGAUCAGUAGCUGGUCUGAGAGGAUGAUCAGCCACAUUGGGACUGAGACACGGCCCAAACUCCUACGGGAGGCAGCAGUGGGGAAUCUUGCGCAAUGGGCGAAAGCCUGACGCAGCCAUGCCGCGUGAAUGAUGAAGGUCUUAGGAUUGUAAAAUUCUUUCACCGGGGACGAUAAUGACGGUACCCGGAGAAGAAGCCCCGGCUAACUUCGUG
Molecule: ribosomal RNA, 328 nt
Filed under: Brevundimonas sp.
Lineage: Bacteria; Pseudomonadati; Pseudomonadota; Alphaproteobacteria; Caulobacterales; Caulobacteraceae
Description: bacterial SSU rRNA
Rfam family: Bacterial small subunit ribosomal RNA
Source: RNAcentral